GUGAGGAAUUUUCCGCAAUGGGCGAAAGCCUGACGGAGCAAUGCCGCGUGAAGGAUGAAGGCCUAUGGGUUGUAAACUUCUUUUCUCAGAAAAGAAUUAUGACGGUAUCUGAGGAAUAAGCAUCGGCUAACUCUGUGCCAGCAGCCGCGGUAAGACAGAGGAUGCAAGCGUUAUCCGGAAUGAUUGGGCGUAAAGCGUCUGUAGGUUGUUUAAAAAGUAUUCUGUCAAAGAUUAGGGCUUAACCCUAGAUAGGCAGAAUAAACUUUUAAGCUAGAGUUUGGUAGAGGCAGAGGGAAUUCCCGGUGGAGCGGUGAAAUGCGUCGAUAUCGGGAGGAACACCAAAGGCGAAGGCACUCUGCUGGGCCAAUACUAACACUGAGAGACGAAAGUGAGGGGAGCAAAUGGGAUUAGAAACCCCGGUAGUCC
RNAcentral lists this ribosomal RNA (426 nucleotides) under uncultured bacterium. RNAcentral's name for it is "partial 16S ribosomal RNA". It matches the Rfam family "Bacterial small subunit ribosomal RNA", at positions 354 to 796 of the family's 1533-position model. The record is from RNAcentral.